UGCUGCUAUAAUCGACGAGGAAGCAGCUUGGUAGCAAGGUUGUGAUGCCGGAAAGCUAAUCGGUGGAGAGAUUCACCAUUGGAGAUGGAAGAGAAGAAUGGUGGUAGAUAUCUUGCCAUUGAAGAUGUUAUCGACUAUGAGGCAAAGGUCAGAUCAAAGCAGGAGCUCCUUGCAGAGGCAAGCCACUAGAAAAAUUGCAAAUACUCAUAUGUGGCAUAUUCAAGGUCUUACACUAUGUGAACAACAUCUGAUUUCAACAGAUAUGAUGAGUAAGCAAUACUCUUUGGUGAAUCUGUGAGAACAUGCAAAUAAAAAAUAAUUUGAGUCCAAGGCAUUUGAUUUAUAUAAAUAAUACUCACCAAAUAAAGGAAUGCUGAAAAAUUUUAUGAAUGAAGCUCAUGAGAAAUUGAAGAAUCUAAUGAAAAAGAAAUGCUUGACAGAGGACAAACAUGGUUCCUGAGAUUGCAUAAGGAUAUUCCUUGCUUGCACCUUAUAAUUAACAAAAAAGGUAUCUCGCAUAAUUUAUGAUUUGAAAUCAUGUACUCAUUUUAUUACAUGUUACUUUUGUAAAUUAAAUUACUACUAAAACUUGAAAUGUAGAUGCAAUGAUGAAAGUUAUCCUUUUAUGUCAUUUCAAGAAAUGAUCUAAACAUAUGGUGCUAACCUUUCCUUUUUUAUAUUUUUUUUUGCAAUGAUGAAACAGUUGUUUUCAGUAGCUGAAGAAUUUGGUUAAUCUAAAUGGAUUCAAUUUGAUACUCCAGUUGUUCAAAUAAAAGUAACAAAGAACAUCAUGUGUUUUGGCUUUCUUUUGAUUUUAAUGCAUUCUCUUUUAUUAAAAUGCCUUUUGCUACUCAAGAAAAUGAGAAUUUAUGUUGAAAAAUUUUUCAAUCACCGGACAAAUAUACAUAUUUUAAAAUUAUGAAGUGUAGAGUAUAGAGGAGGACAGCAACUUGAGGGUCAUUUGUUUUAUGGCGAAGGAUUUUAGUGUGGAUUACUUUCUGUAGAGGUGCAAAAUACAAGUUACUGUUCGGAGGCCUAUAAUUUUGUUGGAGGGUCAAGUAUAUGUGAUGAAGCACUUUUCUUAUAUUUUGAUUUUGUGAUUCUGAAUAAUUAUUUGUACAGUUGUUAAGUUACCUACAUAAUUAUAUUACUGAUAUCACCUUUUUUUAAACCAUUAAAGUUAUUACUUUACC
Molecule: long non-coding RNA, 1193 nt
Organism: Arachis duranensis
Lineage: Eukaryota; Viridiplantae; Streptophyta; Magnoliopsida; Fabales; Fabaceae
Exons: 6
Source: RefSeq, a predicted model, not a curated record